This 468-nucleotide ribosomal RNA is filed under the name uncultured bacterium. RNAcentral describes it as "partial 16S ribosomal RNA". It matches the Rfam family "Bacterial small subunit ribosomal RNA", at positions 28 to 507 of the family's 1533-position model. The record is from RNAcentral.
GACGAACGCUGGCGGCGUGCUUAACACAUGCAAGUCGAACGGAAAGGCCCUGCUUUUGUGGGGUUCUCGAUUGGCGAACGGGUGAGUAACACGUGAGUAACCUGCCCUUGACUUUGGGAUAACUUCAGGAAACUGGGGCUCAUACCGGAUAGGAGCUCCUGCUGCAUGGUGGUGGUUGGAAAGUUUCGGCGGUUGGGGAUGGACUCGCGGCUUAUCAGCUUGUUGGUGGGGUAGUGGCUUACCAAGGCUUUGACGGGUAGCCGGCCUGAGAGGGUGACCGGCCACAUUAGGACUGAGAUACGGCCCAGACUCCUACGGGAGGCAGCAGUGGGGAAUAUUGCAGAAUGGGCGGAAGCCUGAUGCAGAAACGCCGCGUGCGGGAUGACGGCCUUCGGGUUGUAAACCGAUUUCGCCUGUGACGAAGCGUGAGUGACGGUAAUGGGUAAAGAAGCACCGGCUAACUACGUG